ACGAUGGGGCUUUAAAAUACAAAGCCCUCCAAACUGCCUUCACUGCACGGCCACAUGAAUUGCACCAACUCACUUACUCACUCACUCACACUCAUUCUCUCUCUCUCCCAUUCCUCUUUUAGGGUUACUGGUCUCACGCACUCUCGCCCCCCGUCAAUUUGCUACAGCUGGGUAUCAUCACAAUGGCUGAAAACCAGGCGAGCCUUCUGCUGCGGAAGCAGCUUAAAGUUUUUUCAUCUUUAUUUUUUUGAAGAUUUGUCUAGGAAUCCUGUCGAUGGAUUCUCAGCAGGACUUGUAGACGACUCCAACUUGUUCGAAUGGAAUGUGACGAUUAUUGGGCCUCCAGAUACUCUCUAUGAAGGAGGCUAUUUUACUGCUAUCAUGAGCUUUCCACCAAACUAUCCUAAUAGCCCCCCAUCGGUUAGAUUCACAUCCGACAUGUGGCAUCCUAAUGUUUAUCCUGAUGGACGGGUUUGCAUUUCAAUUCUACAUGCUCCUGGUGAUGAUCCAAAUGGUUAUGAAUUGGCGAGUGAGCGUUGGUCUCCCGUGCAUACUUGCAGGUGGAGACAAUUCUUUUAAGCAUCAUAUCUAUGCUCUCCAGUCCUAAUGAUGAAUCACCUGCUAAUAUAGAUGCUGCGGUAAGAAAGAGUGGCGAGAGACCAAAGAAGAGUUCAAGCGAAAGGUGAGCCGGAUAGUAAGGCGUUCCCAAGAAUCAAUGUGACAGAAACGGGUUAUUUGUAGAGGCUGCACCUGUAUGUUGCUCGAUUCACAAUUUAAUAAUAUCCUGGACACGAUAUGGAAAUUGGAAACUUAAAUUAUUGCCAUAUGCAGCUGUGACGCAGUUGGGACCAGUAUGCUGGGGUAAGUAUUUAAGAUUA
Molecule: non-coding RNA, 878 nt
Organism: Physcomitrium patens
Lineage: Eukaryota; Viridiplantae; Streptophyta; Bryopsida; Funariales; Funariaceae
Source: RefSeq, a predicted model, not a curated record